UACAGAGGUCCCAAGCGUUGUUCGGAUUCACUGGGCGUAAAGGGUGCGUAGGCGGUCGGAUAAGUCUUGUGUGAAAUCUUCGGGCUCAACUCGAAGUCUGCACAGGAAACUAUCUGGCUUGAGUGUGGGAGAGGUGAGUGGAAUUCCUGGUGUAGCGGUGAAAUGCGCAGAUAUCGGGAAGAACACCUAUGGCGAAGGCAGCUCUCUGGGACGGUACUGACGCUGAGACGCGAAAGCGUGGGGAGCGAACAGG
Molecule: ribosomal RNA, 253 nt
Filed under: uncultured bacterium
Lineage: Bacteria
Description: partial 16S ribosomal RNA
Rfam family: Bacterial small subunit ribosomal RNA
Source: RNAcentral